RNAcentral lists this ribosomal RNA (3946 nucleotides) under Mallomonas oviformis. RNAcentral's name for it is "bacterial LSU rRNA". The stretch from base 1 to 3416 matches the Rfam family "Bacterial large subunit ribosomal RNA". Lineage: Eukaryota; Synurophyceae; Synurales; Mallomonadaceae. The record is from RNAcentral.
GUGAAGAAGGACGUGAUUACCGGCGAAACGUUUCGGGGAGUUGGAAGUAAGCUUUGAUCCGAAAGUAUCCGAAUGAGGAAACUCAAUAACUUCUUACUGAAUCUAUAAGUAAAGAAAGAGCAAACCUAGGGAAUUGAAACAUCUUAGUACCUAGAGGAAAAGAAAGUAAAAACGAUUCCCUUAGUAGUGGCGAACGAAACGGGAACAGCCUAAACUUUUAAUAAAUUUUAUUGAAAGGGUUGUGGGGUAAAAAAGAAGUGAAUUUAGCGUAAGCUUGAAUUACUUUUAGAAAUUAGGUGAAAUAAUUGGAAAAUUAUACCAAAGAAAGUGAUAGUCUUGUAACCAAAAAUUUCUUAUAUAUUAUUUAUUCCCGAGUAGCAUGGGGCACGUGGAAUCCCGUGUGAAUCUGCGAGGACCACCUCGUAAGGCUAAAUAUUCCUGGAUGUCCGAUAGCGAAUAGUACCGCGAGGGAAAGGUGAAAAGAACCCCGGGAGGGGAGUGAAAUAGAACGUGAAAUUGCAAGCCCACAAACAGAAGGAGAACGACUUAACGUUUCACUUCGUGCCUGUUGAAGAAUGUUCCGGCGACUUAUAGUUAGUGGCAGGUUAAGAUAGAGAUAUCGGAGCCAGAGUGAAAGCGAGCUUGAAUAGAGCGUUCGUCACUAGUUAUAGACCCGAACCCGGUUGAUCUAACCAUGGCCAGGAUGAAACUUAGGUAAUACUAAGUGGAGGUCCGAACCGACUGAUGUUGAAAAAUCAGCGGAUGAGUUGUGGUUAGGGGUGAAAUGCCAAUCGAAACCGGAGCUAGCUGGUUCUCCCCGAAAUGUAUUUAGGUGCAGCGGUUAAUGUUUAAGCAUAGGGGUAAAGCACUGUUUCGGUGCGGGCUGGUAAUUCGGUACCAAAUCGAGGCAAACUCUGAAUACUAUGUGUAUGAUUAACCAGUAAGACUAUGGGGGAUAAGCUUCAUAGUCAAGAGGGAAACAGCCCAGAUCACCAGCUAAGGCCCCUAAAUAAUUGCUAAGUGAUAAAGGAAGUGGAAAGGCUUAGACAACCAGGAGGUUUGCUUAGAAGCAGCAAUCCUUUAAAAAGUGCGUAAUAGCUUACUGGUCUAGCAAUUCUGCGCCGAAAACUUACGGGACUAAGUAAUUUGCCGAAGCUGUGAGAUAGAAAUAUAUACUUUUGUAUAAAACACUAUCGGUAGGGGAGCGUUCUGUUGUAGAUUGAAGUGUUAACGAAAGUGGGCAUGGACGAAACAGAAGUGAGAAUGUCGGAUUGAGUAGCGAAAACAUUGGUGAGAAUCCAAUGCUCCGAAAACCUAAGGUUUCCUCCGCAAGGCUCGUCCACGGAGGGUGAGUCAGGUCCUAAGGUGAGGCUGAGAAGCGUAGUUGAUGGACAAUAGGUUAAUAUUCCUAUACUGAUUAUUACUGGUAUCGAGGGACGAAGAAGGCUAAACUAGCCAGAUAUUGGUUACUGGUUUAAAUAUUCAAGGUGUUGAAGAUUAGAGAAAAUAAUCUGAGCUGAGAUAUGAAUACAAGAUUUACAAAAUCAAAGUAGUUGAUGUCAUACUUCCAAGAAAAGCUCGCUAUGCCAUAAGUAAUAAUCACCUGUACCUUAAACCGACACAGGUAGGUAGGUAGAGAAUACCAAGGAGCGCGGGAGAACCCUCCUUAAGGAACUCGGCAAAAUAGCUCUGUAACUUCGGAAGAAAGAGUGCCUUUUAGGCUGCAAUAUCAAGUUCCAAGCAACUGUUUAGCAAAAACACAGGUCUCCGCUAAGUUGUAAAACGACGUAUGGGGGCUGACGCCUGCCCAGUGCCGGAAGGUUAAAGAAGUUGGUUAGCGCAAGCGAAGCUAGUAACUGAAGCCCCGGUGAACGGCGGCCGUAACUAUAAACCAGGCCAAAUUGUAGUUAUAAAAUUUAGCUAUAUGCUGGAACAUCUCGUUUUACGUUUUCACUACUCUUUAAUUAAGAAAGCAGAUAAAUUUUAUCUCUUGUACAAAUUAAAAGUAAAAAUGUGAAAAAUAGAGAAAAUCAGCAGGAAAGACUUUAAUAAUAUAUUUUAAAAUUUCUUUGUUUAUUAAAUUUUUGAUUAUGAGCGAAUUUCAAGACAAUUUUGAUGAAGAAGAAAUUAAACCUAUUCCAGCAAGACCCGUUAUUCCAUUAAAAAAAGGUUUUUAUGUAGCUGGCUUUGUUGAUGGAGAAGGAAGUUUUUACGCUAGUGCACGAAGACGAACUGAUUAUCAAACAGGUUGGAAAUUUAUAGCUAGUUUUUCUGUAGGAAAUAAAGAUAAAAGUACGCUUGAUUUAUGUCAAGAGUGUAUUGGUUGUGGAACUAUAAGAGAAUCGAAAGAAGAUUUCUAUGUCUUAGAAACUUCAAAUAGACGAGUUCUCGAACAGUUGGUUGUUCCUUUUUUUAAAGAUUAUCCCUUUGAAACAACAAAGAAAAUCUAUGAGUUUGAACUUUUUCAAAAGCUUUUGUCUUUAUUAGAUAAAGGAAUUAAAACAAGAUUAGAUUUAGAAAAUUACUUAAGUUUACGAAGAGAACUUGAUAAAUAUCGUACCUCUCGAUCAUCAAAUACAGAUGAAAUUAUAAGAAAGACUUUUAGACCUAUUGGUUGAAAAAAGUUUAUUAAAGAAUCCUCAGAGACUAUACGCUAAACGAAUAGAAAAAAUUCUAUUUGAUGAUAUAGUCCGAUCUUUAUGGUGACAUAAAGGUAAAGAAAAUUCUACCAUUUUCUUUACGUCUUUUGAGAAAAAGAUUAACACGAAUGAACGGUCCUAAGGUAGCGAAAUUCCUUGUCGGGUAAGUUCCGACCCGCACGAAUGGCGUAAUGAUUUGGAAGCUGUCUCGAGGAGGGACUCGGUGAAAUAGAACUGUCUGUGAAGAUGCGGACUACCUGCGCCUGGACAGUAAGACCCUAUGAAGCUUUACUGUAUCCUGAUAUUGGAUUUCGAUUUUAUUUGCGCAGAAUAGGUGGGAGACUUUGAAACUAGCUUUUUGGGGCUAGGUGAGUCAUUAGUGAGAUACCACUCUGAUAAAAUUAAAAUUCUAACUUCAUACCGUAAGCCGGUUGAAAGACAGUUUCAGGUGGGCAGUUUGACUGGGGCGGUCGCCUCCCAAAAAGUAACGGAGGCGUACAAAGGUUUCCUCAGAUCGGUCAGAAAUCGAUCUUAGAGUGCAAAGGCAAAAGGAAGCUUAACUGUGAGACAAACAAGUCGAGCAGAGACGAAAGUCGGUCUUAGUGAUCUGACGAUGCUGUGUGGAAAGGUCGUCACUCAACGGAUAAAAGUUACUCUAGGGAUAACAGGCUGAUCUUUUCCAAGAGUUCCUAUCGACGAAAAGGUUUGGCACCUCAAAUGGGGGCACUAUAUAGAAUAUAUGGUUGCAUUUUGGCUAUAUGCUGGAAACUCCGUCCAUUAAAAAUGGUUAGUAUCCCAAAAUACUUAGAUUAACUAAGUGAAAAUUUUUGGGUGCGGACAAUCAGCAGGGAAGUUUACUUUACUAGUAUAACCCCUCAACGACUACACGCCGAACAACCUAAUUAGAAUAGGUUGAUGAUAUAGUCUGAUCUUUUAUGCGAAUAAAAGGGCUUUUUAGCCAUAAAGUAAUUGGAUCUCUUAAUUUAAAAAUUUCAUCAAAAUAUGAAGGAAUUUUGCUUUCAAAAACAAUUAUCUUAUUAACACAAAUGCGAUGUCGGCUCAUCGCAUCCUGGGGCGGAAGUACGUCCCAAGGGUUGGGCUGUUCGCCCAUUAAAGCGGUACGUGAGCUGGGUUCAGAACGUCGCGAGACAGUUCGGUCCAUAUCCGGCGUAGGCGUUAGAGUAUUGAGAGUGACCUUUCUCUAGUACGAGAGGACCGAGAAAGACAUACCACUAGUAUACCAGUUAUCGUGCCAACGGUACACGCUGGGUAGCUAUGUAUGGUUAGGAUAACCGCUGAAAGCAUCU